Molecule: ribosomal RNA, 614 nt
Filed under: Maladera fuscescens
Lineage: Eukaryota; Metazoa; Arthropoda; Insecta; Coleoptera; Scarabaeidae
Description: partial 16S large subunit ribosomal RNA
Rfam family: Bacterial large subunit ribosomal RNA
Source: RNAcentral
UUUAAAGUCUAAUCUGCCCUAUGAGGAGUUAAAUGGCCGCGGUACUUUGACCGUGCAAAGGUAGCAUAAUAAUUAGUUUUUUAAUUGAAAGCUGGAAUGAACGAUUGGACGAGAAAAUGACUGUCUCAAUUUAAUUUUAUUAGAAUUUUAUUUUUAAGUAAGAAAGCUUAAAUUUUAUUAAAAGACGAGAAGACCCUAUAGAGUUUUAUAGUUAAGUAUUUACUAAUUUUUUAGAAUUAUUUUAUUGGUAAUAGAUUAAUUAUUUUAUUGGGGCGAUAGAAAAAUUUAAUAAACUUUUUUUAGAAGCAAAACAUUGAUUUAUGGUUUUAUGAUCCAUUUUUUAUGAUUAAAAGAUUAAGUUACCUUAGGGAUAACAGCGUAAUUUUUUUUUAGAGUUCUUAUCGAAAAAAAAGGUUGCGACCUCGAUGUUGGAUUAAAAUUAAUGCUUGGUGUAGAGGCUAAGUAAUUAGGUCUGUUCGACCUUUAAAAUUUUACAUGAUCUGAGUUUAAACCGGCGUGAGCCAGGUUGGUUUCUAUCUUUAAUAGGUUAAAAUAUUUUAGUACGAAAGGACCAAAUAUUUAUAAUAUUUUAUUUUAUUUUUGAAUAAUAUUAG